UCUAUCGCGAGAAGUGAAAGAUGAAAAGGAAAGAAUACAGAUGGGAAAAAUCCUCAAGCCUGAAACUUAUAAACUGGAUUUAGGAUGACCCUUUAAUCAUCAAUCUGUAUAGUUUUUCUUUUUUUUUUUCCCAAAAAAAGUUGGGAUCAUCUUUUCUUGUUUGCAGCCCUACUUUUAUUAGUAGUAAUUAAUCGAAGAAUCGGAGUAGCAGCAGCGUCAAAUUACUUACUUAUUAGGAGGAGCAGGGACGAUGGCCUCCUCCCGCUGCUGCUGCUGCUUUGGCUUUACCACCACCGACAUCCCAAUUACUACUACUACUACCACCACUCGUAGUUAUCGCCCCCAAUUUGUUCAGCACAUGAUUCAGCUGCAGCAGCUCCCACCUCACCCCUCUAACCCCUGCCGCCACUUUUUGCAUCAUUCCCCCGCUUCUUCUUCUUCUGCUCGACUACUAAAUGCAACAUCGUUGCCUUGCACCUCCUCAUCUUCAUCUUCUUCCUCACCCUGGGAUGAUAAACCCUACGAAUUGUUGCCGAAUGGCAGAAUAUCAUACUUGGACGAGCAGGACAUCGUCUCAUUUCUUGAUCCUCCCAAACACCUCAUUCCUUUGGACCCCUCUUCUUUCAAUCCCGCCUCUUAUCUUUGGAAGAAAAUUGAGGAUAUUCCAGAGGAAAGGCGGCGUCGUUUGCUUUCUUUGCUCAAUCCCAGGCUCAUAUCAAGAGCAUGGGAAAUAGCAGGCACGCGGUAUGACGAUCCCAAGUUAGCUGUGAAAAGCGCAUCCAAUCUGCUCUCUCAUGCAGAUGAUCAUGCAUUGCCACUUGAAUUUUGGAACUGCCGAACAAGUGGAGGGCCACUUGCCAUUGCCUGGAUGAAAUAUUUGAAGAAGGCAUUGUUUUACAGCAAGGAAAGGACAUAUGGACGAUUCAUUGGUAUGUUGAGAUGGUAUUUACAUUUUCGGUUUCUGCUUGUUAUCAUAAUCAGAGAAUUAGGCUCCGUUUAUGUUGGUUACAUGGUCUCAAGACCUGAUGCCACGCCGGCUUCAACCAAGUUUAUUGUAUCAAUAGCUGACCGAGUGCAGUAUGAUGUCUGGCGUUUUAGGGGGAUCUCUUCUGGAGGGAAUUUCAAGUUCCUUUAUCCCGUUGUAUUUCACGAUCAGAGAAAUCCACGAAGUAGUGUCGACAGAGCAGCCUUGUGAUUUAGCAUAUGAAUUCGGCGACGGACUGUUGGAUCUCUCUGAUUAUCCCCGGGGCUUCCCCAAGCCAGCAAAACAUCCAUGGCCUUUCUGCGAUCAAGUUGUCGUAUAUGUCCGUCAUCUGGGACCCGGAGUAUUGGUUGGCCAGGCUUGGCAAGAAGGGGAAGCACUGGAACAAGUUCCUACAAAGCUUUGCGGAGAGAUUUUAAUGGUUAAAGACAAUUCUGGUGGCAUGUGAAAUAUUCUCCUACUCCAUCCUCUCUCUUUCCUUUCGCUCCAAUGUUAUGUUGUUGUUAAUUCUUCUUCAAGAAUGUGGCAGAAUGAAUGAAAAGGCCACUGCCGCUGCCACAAGGCAUUUUCUUUUAUUAUCUCUGUUUGCCCUUUGGCUUUGGUCAAAUGAGUCAGGAUCGCAAUUUGAUAAUUUGAGAGGGGCCUAUCCCGUAUUCUUCGUUAAUGAGUAAGGAGCUUCGGAUUCAAUAUAUAGUAGUAUCUCUUUUGCCAUCAUGAUCUACAUUUUCAUGAAAUUGUCAAUAGAUAUCCCUGCUUCACUGUGUGAA
This is a non-coding RNA of Coffea arabica (coffee), 1749 nucleotides long. The record is from RefSeq and is a predicted model, not a curated record. Lineage: Eukaryota; Viridiplantae; Streptophyta; Magnoliopsida; Gentianales; Rubiaceae.